Xenia sp. Carnegie-2017 is the source of this 447-nucleotide long non-coding RNA. RefSeq lists it as uncharacterized. The transcript has 2 exons. The record is from RefSeq and is a predicted model, not a curated record. NCBI's taxonomy places the organism in Eukaryota, Metazoa, Cnidaria, Anthozoa, Malacalcyonacea, Xeniidae.
AUUAUAAAAGUGUUUACAGUUAACUCUCUCAACACUUGCAACAAAAAAUGCAAAAAUAAAAUGAGAGUUUACAUUGUGAAACAUGCUACGAAGCACUAAUCUAAUAUUUUUAUGAUUGCAAGAAAGGGGAUUGAUUACAACUAAUUUCUACGAGGUUAUUCAUUGCUUUGUAGGAUGGCAUGUUUUGGCCAUAUAAACUCAUGAACAUGCUGGUGUAUGAUUGUUCAUGCCAAACAGCUCAUCACAAAAGAAGCGUUUCUGUUGUUGAUGUUAAAGGCACUUUUUGUACUGUUGAGGUACACUUUUGCUCAUGCUCUCCAGAGUUUGUUCAAGUUCUGCAAUUUGGUCUUUGGGGUGGAACACCUACAAAACCAAGAAUUGCAUUUGCAAUUGAGUUUUUUGAAUUGAUUCAUUCUGUGCAGAUGGAAUGCCAGGCAUCAAUAAAAA